RNAcentral lists this ribosomal RNA (254 nucleotides) under Vibrio parahaemolyticus. Its description in RNAcentral is "partial 16S ribosomal RNA". It matches the Rfam family "Bacterial small subunit ribosomal RNA", at positions 280 to 526 of the family's 1533-position model. The record is from RNAcentral. Lineage: Bacteria; Pseudomonadati; Pseudomonadota; Gammaproteobacteria; Vibrionales; Vibrionaceae.
UCCCUAGCUGGUCUGAGAGGAUGAUCAGCCACACUGGAACUGAGACACGGUCCAGACUCCUACGGGAGGCAGCAGUGGGGAAUAUUGCACAAUGGGCGCAAGCCUGAUGCAGCCAUGCCGCGUGUGUGAAGAAGGCCUUCGGGUUGUAAAGCACUUUCAGCAGUGAGGAAGGUAGUGUAGUUAAUAGCUGCAUUAUUUGACGUUAGCUGCAGAAGAAGCACCGGCUAACUCCGUGCCAGCAGCCGCGGUAAUAC